CGCAAUCCAUAUUGUUUACAGCGUUCAUUGACACUUUUUACAAGUUCUUCAAGACGGGACUGUAUAUUCUCAGAUCUCUCCUUGAAAGUAUCAUCAGUAGUGCUUUCUUGUUCCAUUUUAACAAUUGCCCGAUAUAAUUCCAUUUUCUUCUCCUGAAUAUCACGAAACGUGGCCUCUUCAAUUGUUAAUUUAGAGGCUACAUCCCCAGUCUGCUUGUAUUUCUCCUCAUAUUUCUUGGCUAAUGCCUCAACCUCGCGUUUAUCAGCAGCCACUCUCUCUGUUACCUCAUUUAGUCGACUGUCACA
This 305-nucleotide unclassified non-coding RNA is filed under the name Hevea brasiliensis (rubber tree). The record is from RNAcentral. Lineage: Eukaryota; Viridiplantae; Streptophyta; Magnoliopsida; Malpighiales; Euphorbiaceae.